Long non-coding RNA from Nematostella vectensis (starlet sea anemone), 475 nucleotides. RefSeq lists it as uncharacterized. NCBI's taxonomy places the organism in Eukaryota, Metazoa, Cnidaria, Anthozoa, Actiniaria, Edwardsiidae. The record is from RefSeq and is a predicted model, not a curated record. The transcript is spliced from 2 exons.
AUUCACGCUGAAUACAUUAGAGCAGAGUAUAUAAGAUUAGUGAAUAUGAAUAAAUUAUCGAAUUGCUCAACUGCAGCGAGGUGAACGGUAAAUGCUUGGUCUGCUCUAAAUUUAUAUCGUUGUUGUACCGUUUCGAUUAAUUUUGUUUAAACUCGUCUACCAUUAUCAUUUUCUUGUUUCUAUGAAUACUGUUUCAUUUAGAUGGCUGUCUAAUAUCUAGUAGCGGUAUAUCUAGUCUAAUAUCUAGUAGCGGUAGCUGAUGUUGUUCCGGGCGAGGAGCCGAUAGCCCAUGUGCUUGGACAGGAGAAGAAACAAGACCACCCGCAAGGCGGCCAAAGGCCUAGGUCGUAAGAAUAACCGAAGGAUUUGGAGGCAAUUCUGGAAAACGUCUUCCCGAGUAACAACGACCCGAUCGGGUAAUUUAGGUUUGGGGAGAAGAAAAGAUUAGAAUAUUAAAGAGGUUGGAUGAGUAUGA